CUGACUAAUGUGAAUUUCCUUCAGUUCCUCCAUCACCCUAGGUCCUCUGUCCCUAGUACAUCAAGGAGAUUGUUUGUCUUCC
Molecule: long non-coding RNA, 82 nt
Organism: Amblyraja radiata (thorny skate)
Lineage: Eukaryota; Metazoa; Chordata; Chondrichthyes; Rajiformes; Rajidae
Exons: 2
Source: RefSeq, a predicted model, not a curated record